This is a long non-coding RNA of Topomyia yanbarensis, 631 nucleotides long. RefSeq lists it as uncharacterized. NCBI's taxonomy places the organism in Eukaryota, Metazoa, Arthropoda, Insecta, Diptera, Culicidae. The record is from RefSeq and is a predicted model, not a curated record. The transcript is spliced from 3 exons.
UUUCUAUACAAAUUAUUUACAAAGUCGCGCCAAGGCACGGUUUGAAAUAUUUCUCCGCGGAGUGAAACAUUUCAUUAUGUCGGAGUUGCACUGCUCUAACCAACUCUACAUGCGCAUUUUGUGAUAACGUUAUCAUUUUCAUCUGUGUAUGUGAUCAUUUCGCUGAACCGAGCUGUCAAGACCUGUCAAACUAUUCUGCUAUUGCAAAACGUGGUGAUGUGGCUUGAUGGGGUUUUAGCUAGAAUCAGGAUAAGUGCGCAAUCUGGCACAGGUAUGCUGGAAAUAUUGGCAGCUAACAUGGCGAUUCGACAAUCUUCGCGGGUGUUACGAAACAGAACGUCAAAUUUCCGUUUCUCAUCCCACGGACACGAAAGACUACGGAAGAUCCGGACCAUAUCUAAAUAGUAGUCCUGGAAUUUCUCCCUGGCACCCUGUUUCCUACUAUUAGCAUGCCGUUCGUACACGUAAUCGAUAUCAACGGGCGAUGUCAGAGUCUUCUCUCCAACUGACUACGUGGAGCAUCCAGGUUUAUGUUGCGAAUUUGAAGUUCGUGUUCAAGCUCAUCCACCGCUAAGUGGGCUGUAUUCAUCGCAUGAUACUGCGCUGCUAAAUGAGAGUGUUCCAUCGCUAC